AAAAGUCGUAACAAGGUUUCCGUAGGUGAACCUGCGGAAGGAUCAUUAACACGUAUCCAAACGUUAACCCCCCUGUGAACCUUCAAUGUGCUCGUACACUUUGUCAAAGCGAGGCAAUCCCUGGUAAAUCAUCGCCGAACAGUUUUGAUUCUGGGACUUCCUCAAAGAGUGUGCAUGUUGCGCGAGGCAAGUUGCCUGGCAUUCCCAAGCAGUUUGGAUAUCUUGGUUCUC
RNAcentral lists this unclassified non-coding RNA (231 nucleotides) under fungal sp. Its description in RNAcentral is "partial internal transcribed spacer region". The stretch from base 1 to 48 matches the Rfam family "Eukaryotic small subunit ribosomal RNA", at positions 1784 to 1831 of the family's 1831-position model. Lineage: Eukaryota; Fungi. The record is from RNAcentral.